AUUGAACGCUGGCGGCAUGCCUUACACAUGCAAGUCGAACGGCAGCACGGGAGCAAUCCUGGUGGCGAGUGGCGAACGGGUGAGUAAUGUAUCGGAACGUACCUUUCAGUGGGGGAUAACGUAGCGAAAGUUACGCUAAUACCGCAUAUUCUGUGAGCAGGAAAGCAGGGGGAUCGCAAGACCUUGCGCUGAUUGAGCGGCCGAUAUCAGAUUAGCUAGUUGGUGAGGUAAAGGCUCACCAAGGCGACGAUCUGUAGCGGGUCUGAGAGGAUGAUCCGCCACACUGGAACUGAGACACGGUCCAGACUCCUACGGGAGGCAGCAGUGGGGAAUUUUGGACAAUGGGCGCAAGCCUGAUCCAGCCAUGCCGCGUGAGCGAAGAAGGCC
This 387-nucleotide ribosomal RNA is filed under the name uncultured bacterium. Its description in RNAcentral is "bacterial SSU rRNA". It matches the Rfam family "Bacterial small subunit ribosomal RNA", at positions 30 to 416 of the family's 1533-position model. The record is from RNAcentral.